AAGAGCUCUAUGACACCCAGACAAAAACCUGGUACGGUCUGAUUAUGGGCACUCAGGGUCGGGUCAGCGUCCCACUAUUUGGCUACCCAGCACCCACCAAGCUAAAGCUGGAAAAACAACAUGAUGCCAACAUGACAGACUUUUCAGUGGUAUACAAAGACACUUCUAUGCUCACGGGGAAUGUCACUGUUAUAUUCACAGUAGUAGAGGAGAAACACAUGGGAGUGUACAAACUGACUGUUGGAAAUGGAAUUGGUACAGACUUCAGCUAUGAUUUCCGUGUUUUCAAAGAUUCAACCAACAAGCUGAUGUCUUCUUAUGGUGUCUUGUAUCUGGCAAUGUUCCUGUGGGCUCUAGUCUGGAAAUUGGCUUGAAAUUGACUUUCAUCAACGGUGGUAUAAGCCCAGAGAACAAUUUUUGAAUUUCCUUUUUAUACAACUAAAUAAAUCUUUCAUGAACAUUUUAUGUCAAGCAAUUUUUUUAUAUUAAUUACUUGUGGUAAAUUAUUUUUCAAAUAUUCAUGGUUACACAUUAUUUUAUAAAAAUGAUAAAUUAAUUUAAUUAAUGUAUGGGUUAUCCAGUUUUAAUUCAAAAGAAAAUUGAUUUUAUCUUAAAUUAAUAUAAUUUUCAACUAAAAACUGCAUUUUUAAAGAAAAUCAACAAUGAGAUUACACACUUUUAACCAAUCAGAGAGCAGUUUUUAUUUUGUGUUUUUGUCUAAAACACUUUUUGGACAUGCCAUGCAAUGUCCUUCAAACAUUUAAAAAGCUAUGUAGCUGAAAUUUAGUAUAUAUUUUCAUAAUCCAAUAUUUUGUAAUUGGUCUAUUAAUAUUCAGUUCCUUGAAAGAUUUUAUGGAUACUGAUGUUAAUAUUUCGUCGAACCCUUAUUUUUAAAAAAAUAAUAAAUUACUUAUUUUUCAUCAGAAUUAAACAGAAGUAGAAACAAAUUUUAAUGUAUAUUAUUUGUUUGUCAUAUGUUUGCUAAUUUCCAGUUCUUUAAAUACUUUUUUUUUAUAAAUAUGCUACUAAAUACAAAAAUAAUUUUCUUCUUCGUUCUUAAUUAAAUAUUUGAUGAAGAAUUUAAACAAGCCCAACUUAGUUAUGAACUGGACUGUGGUCUCCAGAUCAGUGGGUGCCCCAUAUAGUUUUUCCUAUAAAUAUAAUAACAUUAUCCAUUAAGAUUUUUUUCAAGGUAACAAGAAUUUGAAACUAUAUUUUUUUUACAUAUUUUCAUGUGUAUAGUUAUUGUGUAAAAUAUUAGCCCCCCCUGUAUUCUUGAAGAAAGAUAAUUCUCUUUUUGUAUGAUAUUUAUCCUAAGAUAUCGAUGCAGUCGUGCUCUCCUUAACAUCAAGUGUUCAUUUUACAAAAUGAUGCAAUAAUAAAAGUAGUAGUACCCAGCCUUGCUUUGGUUUAACAGUUAUAACAAAUUGUAAAAAUAAAUGGCUAGUCUAUUGUUUAAAAUAUUAAUUAGUGCAUGUUAACUACAGAUAUAGUUAUCAGACUAAAACAGUUUAACAUUGCAUUUUAAUAAUGAAUAUAAUUUUUUAAUUCUGUAAAAAGGUAUAGAUUUUUUUUAAACAUUGUACCUAUAUCUUUACCUAGUCACAUAGAAAAAGUUAGUCAAGUUUUUUUUUAUUCUUUAAUUUCAAUCUAUUUUUGUCAAUAUUCUUCCACUGUAUAUAUUUUAAUUCAAUGUUUUAACUAUUAUACAUCUACUUGUCUUUAAUAAUGAGAUUUUAACAGGGUAUUAUUGGCUAUUUUUGGUGUUAUUGUUUUUUUUCUAUUCUUUAAUUUCAAUCUAUUUUUGUCAAUAAUCUUCCACUGUAUAUAUUUUAAUUCCAUGUUUGAACUACUACACAUCUUCUUGUCUUUAAUAAUGAGAUUUUAACAUGGUAUUAUUGGCAUUAAUAAACAUUGCUUUAACUGUGACAAGAGACAACUCUUUAUCAAAUCGUUUUUAUCAUACUUAUUUUAAAAUGUUUAUCUUUUUAUAUAGUUUUAUUGCUAAAAUAUUUCAAAAUAACAAUAUUAACUCAUAAUAAACUGAAGAUUUUCAUAGAUAUAUUUUGAAAAUAUAUUUUAGCAAACAGUACCUUCCUUUCUUAAAACCAUCAGAAUAUGUCCACUCUACUUAACUUGCCCUAAAAUAUUUAUAAUAUUUAUUAACUUGGUUGGAGUUUGUUCUAUUUCUGUUCACUUACAAUUAAUUCCUGAUUACUAUUAAAGCUAUUAAAAUUUAGUGUUUUGUUAAGUGUAAUUCAGAGCCGUAGCGAGAGUGGGGGGGACGGGACAUAUGUACCCCGGCGCCGACCUU
This is a long non-coding RNA of Physella acuta, 2314 nucleotides long. RefSeq lists it as uncharacterized. The record is from RefSeq and is a predicted model, not a curated record. Lineage: Eukaryota; Metazoa; Mollusca; Gastropoda; Physidae.